AGCAGCCGCGGUAAUUCCAGCUCCAAUAGCGUAUAUUAAAGUUGCUGCAGUUAAAAAGCUCGUAGUUGAAUUUCGGGACCGAUAUAUCGGUCGUGCCUCGGUACGUACUGGUAUUUUCGGUUUCUACCUUCUGACGAACCUUGAUGUCAUUAAUUUGGUGUCUUGGGAAAUCAGGACUGUUACUUUGAAAAAAUUAGAGUGUUUAAAGCAGGCUCACGCUUGAAUACAUUAGCAUGGAAUAAUGAAAUAGGACGUUUGAUUCUAUUUUGUUGGUUUCUAGGAUCGACGUAAUGAUUAAUAGGGAUAGUUGGGGGCAUUAGUAUUCAAUUGUCAGAGGUGAAAUUCUUGGAUUUAUUGAAGACUAACUACUGCGAAAGCAUUUGCCAAGGAUGUUUUCAUUAAUCAAGAACGAAAGUUAGGGGAUCGAAGACGAUCAGAUACCGUCGUAGUCUUAACCAUAAACUAUGCCGACUAGGGAUCGGAUGAUGUUAAUUUUUUAAUGACUCAUUC
Molecule: ribosomal RNA, 510 nt
Filed under: uncultured Glomus
Lineage: Eukaryota; Fungi; Glomeromycota; Glomeromycetes; Glomerales; Glomeraceae
Description: SSU rRNA
Rfam family: Eukaryotic small subunit ribosomal RNA
Source: RNAcentral